Molecule: ribosomal RNA, 403 nt
Filed under: uncultured bacterium
Lineage: Bacteria
Description: partial 16S ribosomal RNA
Rfam family: Bacterial small subunit ribosomal RNA
Source: RNAcentral
AUUGAACGCUGGCGGCAGGCCUAACACAUGCAAGUCGAGCGAGCGGCGGACGGGUGAGUAAUGUAUGGGGACUGCCCGAUAGAGGGGGAUAACUACUGGAAACGGUAGCUAAUACCGCAUACUAUCGGAUAACCCAUAUGGGAUUAGCUAGUAGGUGAGGUAAUGGCUAACCUAGGCGACGAUCCCUAGCUGGUCUGAGAGGAUGAUCAGCCACACUGGGACUGAGACACGGCCCAGACUCCUACGGAGGCAGAAGUGGGGAAUAUUGGACAAUGGACGAAAGCCUGAUGCAGCCAUGCCGCGUGUAUGAAGAAGGCCCUAGGGUUGUAAAGUACUUUCAGUCGGGAGGCGUUACCGAAAGAGGAAGCACCGGCUAACUCCGUGCCAGCAGCCGCGGUAAUAC